UCCGAGGUAGCUCAGCUGGCAGAGCGCUUGACUGUUAAUCAAGAUGUCGUGGGUUCGAGCCCCACCCUCGGAG
This 73-nucleotide transfer RNA is filed under the name Acidimicrobiia bacterium. RNAcentral's name for it is "tRNA-Asn". It matches the Rfam family "tRNA". Rfam says of the family: Transfer RNA (tRNA) molecules are approximately 80 nucleotides in length. Their secondary structure includes four short double-helical elements and three loops (D, anti-codon, and T loops). The record is from RNAcentral. Lineage: Bacteria; Bacillati; Actinomycetota; Acidimicrobiia.